RNAcentral lists this ribosomal RNA (748 nucleotides) under uncultured Arcobacter sp. Its description in RNAcentral is "bacterial SSU rRNA". It matches the Rfam family "Bacterial small subunit ribosomal RNA", at positions 572 to 1318 of the family's 1533-position model. The record is from RNAcentral. Lineage: Bacteria; Pseudomonadati; Campylobacterota; Epsilonproteobacteria; Campylobacterales; Arcobacteraceae.
UAGGCGGGUAGUUAAGUCAGAAGUGAAAUCCAAUAGCUCAACUAUUGAACUGCUUUUGAAACUGAUUACCUAGAAUAUGGGAGAGGUAGAUGGAAUUUCUGGAGUAGGGGUAAAAUCCGUAGAGAUCAGAAGGAAUACCGAUUGCGAAGGCGAUCUACUGGAACAUUAUUGACGCUGAGACGCGAAAGCGUGGGGAGCAAACAGGAUUAGAUACCCUGGUAGUCCACGCCCUAAACGAUGUACACUAGUUGUUGUGAGGCUCGACCUUGCAGUAAUGCAGUUAACACAUUAAGUGUACCGCCUGGGGAGUACGGUCGCAAGAUUAAAACUCAAAGGAAUAGACGGGGACCCGCACAAGCGGUGGAGCAUGUGGUUUAAUUCGACGAUACACGAAGAACCUUACCUGGACUUGACAUAGUAAGAACUUUCUAGAGAUAGAUUGGUGUCUGCUUGCAGAAACUUAUAUACAGGUGCUGCACGGCUGUCGUCAGCUCGUGUCGUGAGAUGUUGGGUUAAGUCCCGCAACGAGCGCAACCCUCGUCAUUAGUUGCUAACAGUUCGGCUGAGAACUCUAAUGAGACUGCCUACGCAAGUAGGAGGAAGGUGAGGACGACGUCAAGUCAUCAUGGCCCUUACGUCCAGGGCUACACACGUGCUACAAUGGGGUAUACAAAGAGCCGCAAUACGGUGACGUGGAGCAAAUCUCAAAAAUAUCUCCCAGUUCGGAUUGUAGUCUGCAACUCGACUA